RNAcentral lists this ribosomal RNA (460 nucleotides) under uncultured bacterium. Its description in RNAcentral is "partial 16S ribosomal RNA". It matches the Rfam family "Bacterial small subunit ribosomal RNA", at positions 338 to 795 of the family's 1533-position model. The record is from RNAcentral.
CCUACGGGGGGCAGCAGUGAGGAAUAUUGGUCAAUGGACGAGAGUCUGAACCAGCCAAGUAGCGUGAAGGAUGACUGCCCUAUGGGUUGUAAACUUCUUUUAUAAAGGAAUAAAACGAGGCACGUGUGCCUGUUUGCAUGUACUUUAUGAAUAAGGAUCGGCUAACUCCGUGCCAGCAGCCGCGGUAAUACGGAGGAUCCGAGCGUUAUCCGGAUUUAUUGGGUUUAAAGGGAGCGUAGAUGGGUUGUUAAGUCAGUUGUGAAAGUUUGCGGCUCAACCGUAAAAUUGCAAUUGAUACUGGCAGUCUUGAGUACAGGUGAGGUAGGCGGAAUUCGUGGUGUAGCGGUGAAAUGCUUAGAUAUCACGAAGAACCCCGAUUGCGAAGGCAGCUUACUAAACUGUGACUGACAUUGAUGCUCGAAAGUGUGGGUAUCAAACAGGAUUAGAUACCCUUGUAGUC